RNAcentral lists this unclassified non-coding RNA (2008 nucleotides) under Hevea brasiliensis (rubber tree). The record is from RNAcentral. Lineage: Eukaryota; Viridiplantae; Streptophyta; Magnoliopsida; Malpighiales; Euphorbiaceae.
AAAAACUACAAAUUGCAGGCUUUGGCGAAAUCAACGGUUACAUUUCACUAAUUAAAAACGUCCCAUUCCAAUUUUAUUUCCACUGCACAUGAAUGUGAUACAAAUAUAAAAAGCAAGGAAGCCACUAGGCCUCACGUUUCCACAGCUUCCACAUCAAUUUCCAGCCAUUAUUACACAGAUUACUUUACCUGCGACAUUCACAUUUUUAUUUGACAAUUCCACAACUGCCUUAGAAACUUGCUCUUUUCAACGACGUAAUCGUGAUGGAAGACCCCAAUGGCGACGACCCAACUUCAAUUUCAAACGAGUCGUAUCGUCGAAAUAAUUCAACCACGAAAAGUCGGGAGAUAAGUACCACGAAAUCUUUACCCGCGCAUUGUUUAUUUCCCACCGUUGGAUGAUCUGUCUCAGGCCCGUUUGACCACAGCACGUGUUGCAACAACUUUUCUCCCUCCCCCACGAAUCGAUCCGGCACGUACUCGUCGGGGGUGUCGAAUAUUUUCGGAUCUUUGGUUGCAAAAGGUUGGUACCCGAAUAUCAUCUCGCCUUCUUUUACUUCAUACGCAGCGUCGUGGCUUUCAAUGAUCAAGUCACGCUUUGCUUUACCAUACUGUGCUGGUACUGGCGGUUCGAUACGGAACGCUUCGUAGACGGCGGAUUUCAUCAGUGGCAUCUGUUCUAGAGCAGCCAUCGUGAUCUCCCCACCGUUGGAUUUAAUGACUGAUCUGAUCUCUUGGGCUAGUUGGGUAUGGAGCUUGACUCCAGCACGGCCGAUCCACUUGAGUAUGUUGGGGAAGAAGAUCUUAAGGCCGCCAAAGGUAUUAAAGCACGUCGCGAAAAGGAUAUUGUGACAGGCUUCUUCUCGCGAGAUACCCAUCUUCUCAGCCUCGUCAAGUAGGGAUCCGGCGGAGGAGUAGAAGUAAUCGUAGAGUCGCUUGUAAUCUUUCUUGACGAGAAAAGCAGGGAGACGGAAGGUGUGGAUGGUGGGCUCUUCAAGAAAUGCCGGAAGGCCAAGUGUGAGUAUAGGAGCAAGUUGAAAUAGUACCCAUUUAGCUAUCAGAGUGGGUCCAUCAGUCCCGAUCUUAGUAUCCACGGGGUUUACACCGAAAUAACUCCGACCCAAGAAGCUAAAGGCCGCUUGUUCGCCGGGAUUGUUGAAAUUGACUUUACCCUUAGACGCGAGAUCGUUCUCCAGACUCUCAAACAGUCCGGUAUAAGUCGAGCUGAACUCAGGGAUUACAUGAUCGCGGCGAGACUUCAAAAGAUAGAACAAGAAAUUCUUGAGUUGGGUAUGCUUCGGCUCAGACGGGUCAAGGUAUGAAAGAAUUCUGUAGCCGCCGGUGAGCUCUGUGGAGGGCAUGAAGGUACCAGUAAAAAGAUCUUUCUUUUCGACCUUAGUUACGUCGAAAAGAACAGAAAAGCUCUUCCCAUCAAGCACGACGACCACGUGUGGAUUGGAAGAGAUGAAAGGACCAGGAGGCAUGUUGGCUCUGAACACCGUUGACUGGUACUUUUGAGCUCUGGAUUUGAAGUACUCUUCUUUGCCUUGUUUAUAGAAAUAAUCAAGUCGAUCAUUGAUGGGACCGAUAAAAGGGAGACCAUAAUCGCCGGGGAUUUUGCGAAGCGGAAGUUUGGAAGAAUCAGUUGGUGAAACAGUUGGCGACGAGAUACCUAUAGAUGGUUUUUCAGACACAGAGGCCUUGAUUGGAGAGAGAGAGGAUCGUCGAGAGUAAGGCUUAGUUGAGCUUCUCAACGACAUAAAUUGAGAUUGCAGGGAAGGAGAAGGCAGAACUGAGGAAGCCAUGUUGGUAGUGAAGUAGAAGCCUUACGGAGCUAUGUAGCUUAGAGAUAUUUCAGGUACUUGGAAGAUUGGUAUGAGUAUAAAAUGUAGAAAAUUGAUGAUUGGGCGAGUAAAUGGAGGGUGAGGGUCUCUGGUUAUUUAUAGUGGUGGGGAGCAUUGUCCUGAAAAAGCUUGUUAUGCUCUCUGGUAAAGAAUCGUGGAAGGCAU